This is a long non-coding RNA of Oncorhynchus masou masou (cherry salmon), 1375 nucleotides long. RefSeq lists it as uncharacterized. The transcript is spliced from 5 exons. The record is from RefSeq and is a predicted model, not a curated record. Lineage: Eukaryota; Metazoa; Chordata; Actinopteri; Salmoniformes; Salmonidae.
AUAGCCCCUAGACACAGCCGAGAGAAUUAUUGUCUUUGCGAAAGUCACACAUAGAAGCUAGAAUACAUUUACACAGCACCACUUCCUCCUCUCAGCCAGCACCAGAUUAUGUAACUGUUUCAUACCUCAAAGGACCAUCACUUUAGUUUGACUUUUGUUCUGCUGUCAGUCUGAGCAUAAAAUAUUGGACUAACGUCUGGUUCUGCAGUGGGUCAGUAUGUGUGGAAGACGUGCAUUCAGGCUUUCUCUGCUUCUGCUGGUGUGGUGUGUGUGCACAGACUUAGAAGAGAUUCAAGUGAAACCAUUAGAAACAGGAACAGAUUUGGGCACUCUUUCCUGUCCAAACCAAACCAUUCAUGACAUGAUGUAUGUAAUAUGUAAGAUGAUAAGUGGUGGGAGUGAGUGUCGAGUGUCUCUUCGGUUUGACCAAAAUGGUACAGACAGCACUUGUGACCCCAGAGUCACACUGCAGACAGAGAAUGACAGAGUGUUUCUAAACAUCACCAACAUACAACCAUCUGAUGAAGGGAACUACACCUGUCAGUGUGUAUUUAAUGGAGGAAUAGAUCAUUUGCAUCUCAAUAUUUCUGUCAAUGGAUCCCAUGUCACAAACAACCUUUCUUUCCAACGACCUUUCAAUGUCAUGAUAAUAACAGCCUUUGCAGGAUUUGUAGCCGUCGUGGUCCUUGUUGGAAUAAUCAGGAAGAAAUGUCAUCUCAACAGGAGAACAAAGCAGAAAGCGGUGUACACCUUUAAAGAGGUGGAGCAACAGGACAUUGAGCCCUACAGCACGUUCACAAGGAGAGACAAUGAACUUUACUCAACUCUCCAGCUGACACCUUCUAACCCCUGACCUCUGGCACCGUUGACCAAUGACGACAUGGCAUUAGACACCUUUUUCUAUCACUAGGGGUUAAAUACUAUUUCACCAACCCUGGAUAUACAACUGUACAGUAUAUCUUGAUUACUGUAAUGCCCCUAUUUUUACAGCUGAUACACUGACUUUAUAUAGUUCCAUUGAUUGGUUACUGACACCUGGCUGAAUAGGUCCUGUACUGUAGAUAGUCUUCUGUUGCUGUGAAUAUCAGCACUUACUGUAUGACUCAUGUACAUUCUGUUAGGUAGAACCAAUGUUCCUGUGGACAGAUGUGAUCAUGUGCAUUUCCACCAGGUGUCAGUGUUUUGUAUUUGUAAAAUAUAUUCCUUUGCAGCAGAAUGUACAGUCGUCAUCACAACAUGCUUCAUGACAAUGCAUUUUCCUUGCUUUCAAUGGUCCAUCGCCAUUUAUCAUGUAGGCCUACAUUAAUUACAUGUUCAGGUGAAGAGAUGUAACGACAAAACUAAAGCAAUCAUUAAAACUUCACUUCCAAACAGA